This 309-nucleotide ribosomal RNA is filed under the name uncultured eukaryote. Its description in RNAcentral is "partial 18S ribosomal RNA". It matches the Rfam family "Eukaryotic small subunit ribosomal RNA", at positions 1470 to 1796 of the family's 1831-position model. The record is from RNAcentral.
CCCUUAGAUGUUCUGGGCGGCCCGCGCACUACAUUGGCACUAGCAAAGAGAUCCUAGAUUGAAUUCUUUGGGGUAUUCUUCUAAAUGGUGUCGUGACUGGGAUAAAUCCUUGUAAUUAUUGGUUUUGAACGAGGAAUACCUUGUAAUCGCGGUUUAUCAGCUCGCGUUGAAUGCGUCCCUGCCCUUUGUACACACCGCCCGUCGCUCCUACCGAUGGAUCGUCCGGUGAAGCUCACGGAGUGACUGUUCACGCAACGGUUUACGAAGUGAAAUGGACCUCACGAUUUAGAGGAAGGAGAAGUCGUAACA